Molecule: ribosomal RNA, 465 nt
Filed under: uncultured bacterium
Lineage: Bacteria
Description: partial 16S ribosomal RNA
Rfam family: Bacterial small subunit ribosomal RNA
Source: RNAcentral
GACGAACGCUGGCGGCGUGCUUAACACAUGCAAGUCGAACGGAAAGGCCCUGCUUUCAGUGUACUCGAGUGGCUAACGGGUGAGUAACUCGUGGGUGAUCUGCCCUGCACUUCGGGUUAAGCCUGCGAUACUGGGUCUAAUUCCUGCUAGGUGCCAUUCUUAGUGUGAUGGUUGGAACGUUUUUUCGGUUUAGGAUGAGCUCGCGGCCUCUCAGCUUGUUGGUGGGGUAAUGGUCUACCAAGGCGGCGACGGGUAGGCGGCCCGAGAGGGGGGACGGCCAAAAUGGGGAUGGGAAAAGGCCCAGAAUCCUACGGGAGGGAGCAGUGGGGAAAAUUGGACAAUGGGCGCAAGCCUGAUGCAGCGAAGCCGCGUGGAGGAUGACGGCCUUCGGGUUGUAAAAUCCUUUCGAUAGGGAAGAAGCUGUUUGUGACGGUACCUAGAUAAGAAGCACCGGCUAACUACGUG